Molecule: transfer RNA, 87 nt
Filed under: Rheinheimera aquimaris
Lineage: Bacteria; Pseudomonadati; Pseudomonadota; Gammaproteobacteria; Chromatiales; Chromatiaceae
Also listed under: 30 other names
Description: tRNA-Leu
Rfam family: tRNA
About the family: Transfer RNA (tRNA) molecules are approximately 80 nucleotides in length.
Source: RNAcentral
GCCCGGGUGGUGAAAUCGGUAGACACAAGGGAUUUAAAAUCCCUCGGGGGAAACCCCGUGCCGGUUCAAGUCCGGCCCCGGGCACCA